This is a long non-coding RNA of Oncorhynchus tshawytscha (Chinook salmon), 2913 nucleotides long. RefSeq lists it as uncharacterized. The transcript has 4 exons. Lineage: Eukaryota; Metazoa; Chordata; Actinopteri; Salmoniformes; Salmonidae. The record is from RefSeq and is a predicted model, not a curated record.
CCCUCUGAUAAAAGCUGUCCGGUCCCUCCACAGCUAGAAUAAUGACAGUGAGCAGAUAGCUGGGAACAUGACACUGCAGAUAUCACCACUAACAACCUGACAGACUGCACAGACCUCUCCUUGCCAAGAGAUUGAAUGUAGCUCACCUACUCCGUGAGGUGGAUGUGGGGAGUCCAGCAGAAGAGGCUGGUAUGCAGGAUGGAGACUUGCUGCUGGCGGUCAAUUGGCAUCCUUCGGAGUCCAUGGCGCGUGAGAAUAUUGUCAGGAAAGUGAGGAAGAGUGGCAAGCGGGUUAGCCUCACCACCAUACCAUACAUGGAAGAGACUUCUACACGCAGUUGGGUCUAUCUCCCCUGCUAUUCCAUGAGGACAGUCUGCCAAAAGGAGAGGGGAUGAGGAAGACACAGUCCCCUUGCACUGAGAAGCAGGAUGGGCUGAGUAAAAAUGAGCACGGUUUUACUUCCCUGUCCAAGACUCUGUGUCCUCGAGAGAGAGAAGAAUCAGGCUUUGGGUUUAAUCUGGGUUGCGUUCAACAUGAGCCAGGGACUUUCAUAGGGCAGGGAUUCCUUUGAACAUCAACAACAUAACAACACAACACCAUGGUCAUCUAGCUCUCUCUCAUCUAUUUGUUGUCAUCUCUAUCAUUAUGUUUCCUGACAUAAAUAGGCCAUUUGAAAAAUUCCCAAUCAAAGUUGUAGUAAUGAGGAACAGCUUUCAUCAAUCAAAAGUUCCCGAUAUUGAUCUGCUGUGUUUUCCACAAGCAUUGUUAUAAUGACCGAGGGUAGGUGUUAAGAUGUUUCCUAUGAGAAAUGAGUGGCACGUGUAAAAGUAUAACUUUAGACCGUCCCCUCGCCCAUACCCGGGCGCAAACCAGAGACCAUUUGCACACAUCAACCACGAAGCAUCGUUACCCAUCGCUCCACAAAAGCCUUGGCCCUUGCAGAGCAAGGGGAACCACUACUUCAAGGUCUCAGAGCAAGUGACGUCACCGAUUGAAAUGCUAUUUAGCGCGCACCACCGCUAACUAAGCUAGCCGUUUCACAUCCGUUACACACGGUUAUGACUGCAGUUUUCUUUUGUCCUGCAGGUGGUGGUAAAGGGCUUAGGACAUAGGGCUGGACUGUGGGAAGGGGAUGUCGUUGUGGAGGUGAAUGGCCAGAAUGUGGAGAAUGAGUACCUUGAGGACGUUGUGACGCUGAUAAAGAAGAGCGUGACGUCUUUGAAAUUACUGGUUGCGGAGAGGAAUGCUGAGAAGUGACCAAAGUCAUUAUGAAGACAACAUCUCACCUAACAGAGGAGGACCUGGCACUAGCACAGCAUCAACAACAACAUAGCUGCAAUCAUUAAUUCAUGUGCCAGUGAUAACACUGCAAAACAAUGCAGGAUGAAAUAAAUGAAGCUGUUCCCUCUACUUCUGAAUGCAACCUGAAAGAGAAGGGCUGAAUUAGAUGCCAAUAUUUUAACCAGACCCAUGAGGGCUCUGGUCAAAAGUAUUGUACUACGUAGGGGAAAGGGUGCCAUUUGGGGCAUAGCCAUGGUGAGUCUGCUUCCAUCUGAAACAUGUCAGAGGAUUUAAUCCCUUCUCUACACAUCUCCCAUCUUCUUUUUGAGGACUAUUACCGACAGAGCUAUGCUAAGGACCUGCUUCUUGCGACAUAGGAUUUGCAGAGUAGAUUGCACACUGUUUAAAUUAUUGAUAUCACUUGUGUGUGAGAAAGGGAUAAUGAAGUUUAGGUUUAUUCUAAGGUGAAAUCAAGAUAAACUAAAUAAGAUGGGGAAAAACAAUAGUGGGGCUCAGUUGAGAAUCUAUGAUCAUUAUUGUACGUGAUGAUUCAAGGUGUACAAAGUGUAAAGAUCUAUUAUUAAGUACUUGAUAAGCCAUACAAUUGCAUAAAACUAGCUCAAUGUACAGUACACUACAUGACCAAAAGUAUGUGGACACCACUUCAAAUGAGUGGAUUCGUAUAUUUCAGCGACACCCGAUGCUGACAGGUGUAUACAAUCGAGCACACCGCCAUGCAAUCGCCAUAGACAAACAUUGGCAGUAGAAUGGCCCAUACUGAAGAGUUCAGUGACUUUUAAUGUGGCACUGUCAUAGGAUGCCACCUUUCCAAGAAGUCAGUUCGUAACAUUUCUGCCCAGCAAUGUCACAUCUAGUGAAAAGCCUUCCCAGAAGAGUGGAGGCUUUUAUAGCAGCAAAGGGGGGGGACCAACUCCAUAUUAAUGCCCAUGAUUUUGGAAUGAGAUGUUUGAUGAACAGGUGUCCAUAUACUUUUAGUCAUGUAGCGUAUAUAAGAAAAUUAACAUGAUUAAGAGAAACAUAUUCAUGAAAACAUUUCACUUUGAACAACUACACCAUCUAGUGACCGUUUAAAAGUCUGACUAACAAUGGAAAUGUGCCUUUUUUGUAGCGUUCAGUGUUACAUUGAACAUACUGUACAUAUUGCACUGUAUACAACUUCUGCUAUUAUACUGGCCUGCUAUUUCUGCUAUUCAAUGCAUAGAGCUGGCCAUGCUAUUUAAGUGAGUUGUUGAUGAACAUAAAUGAAGGUCAGUUGUAAUGUGGUAAAGGCAAAAUAAUGACACAUGGAAACAGAAAUAAUGUCAAUGCUAGUUUUUAUUUGAAGCUACUUUGAAAUACCUAUUUUCCAGAGGGAAGGGAAAAAAACAACACAGAAACUAAUUUAAGCCGAUGUUGGAGAAACUGAAAAAGGAACUACCCUGAUCGUGUUUAAAACAAUCGGGCAAGCUCCUGGAAAUACAUAUAUCACUAACAAUAACUCAACUAGUUACACUGAAAUGUUUUUAAAAAACGAUUUAAAGACAAACCUACAAUAAUCAGACUUAUGAACUAGUACUUUCGUGGUAUCCAAUUGGUAGUUACAGUCUUGUCUCAUCGCUGUAACUCCCGUAC